UUUCUAAGAAUGCCAAGAGGUUGGCUUGUAAGUGUGACAAGUUCGAUUUAGGGAGUGGCCUCAUGGAAUGGUGCUGCAUUGGCUGAUGUUGAGCCAGGACUUUUCACGGCUACUUCGUGAAAAGACUGCUAGAUUCCGAUGCCGUUCUUGGUAGUGCAGGGAUUGAUACAUAUUCAAAAAGCGGCUGCAUGAGAGAAACUUGUCAGGCUUUUGAUAGGUUGGAGAAGAGGAAUGAGGUAUCUUGGAGUGCACUGAUUAGAGGGUUUGUGCAAGAGGAACAGGCAGAUGUUGCUAUUAGUGAAAUCUGCAAACAUCAAGCCAGAAAAAUUCAGGCUUGUUAGCCUUCCAAUCCGCUCAGUCAACCAACGUUUUGAUGUCGAUCGAGGUAAAGAGAUUCAUGCUCACAUCAUUGACACCGUUGCUCGACCAAAUAUAGUACGAGAAACUGAGCUGUUUUGUGCGUAUCGUAGAUAAUGGAAGGUUUAGGAGAACACCUGAAAAGAAUGACAUGGAAGUGCCCGAACUCUGCUAUAAAAUGCAGCUUCAUGUUGUAGUGCCAGAUUGUUUUUCUCUGGCCAAAGCACUUUCUGCAAGCACUACCCUUUCAGACCUAAAGAAGGGUAAGCAAAUCCAUGGCUUUAUGAUUAAGAACAUGGUCGAAGAUUACAGAAUUUUUUGUUGUGAGCUUCUUGAUAUGUAUACAGGAUUAGAGAGUCGAGACUCCACAUGCAAGAUAUAUGACUAAGCAACAGAAAAGGCCUUUCAGACAAUGCAAAGGAAGAAAUUGAUAGAAAAUGCUGGUUGAGCCCGAGGUGUCUACCUGCGGAGACUGCUUGCAGCUUGUAGGAUUCACAAGGAGCUUGUAGGAUUCCCGGAGGCAGCUGGAUUAAGAUCGGCAAUGAGAACCAAAUGUCUGAGGCCGGGACCAGAUGCUGCAGCCCCAAGCAGAGGAGAUUUAUGCUAUUCUGAAGUGCUUAUCUUUGCAACACACAGGACCUCAAGGUCGAGGAGGACUACUUGCUUCGACACAAUGAAAAGAUCAAUGACUGGCUCAGGCAUAUGCUUCUCUGAGAGUUCUCCAGCACAAAUAUAGAAGACCAAUUGCCAUACUACAAUAAAACUUGUCUCGUAUACAGCCAACUGCCUCUUAUAAUCAUAAAGGACAAUGAACCGGUUUCAUCAUUUUAAAGAUAGCAGCAUUUUCUUGUA
This is a non-coding RNA of Phoenix dactylifera (date palm), 1209 nucleotides long. The record is from RefSeq and is a predicted model, not a curated record. Lineage: Eukaryota; Viridiplantae; Streptophyta; Magnoliopsida; Arecales; Arecaceae.